AGCGCAACCCUUGUCCUUAGUUACCAGCACGUAAUGGUGGGCACUCUAAGGAGACUGCCGGAGACAAACCGGAGGAAGGUGGGGAUGACGUCAAGUCAUCAUGGCCCUUACGGCCUGGGCUACACACGUGCUACAAUGGUCGGUACAGAGGGUUGCCAAGCCGCGAGGUGGAGCUAAUCCCAGAAAACCGAUCGUAGUCCGGAUCGCAGUCUGCAACUCGACUGCGUGAAGUCGGAAUC
RNAcentral lists this ribosomal RNA (239 nucleotides) under uncultured Pseudomonas sp. RNAcentral's name for it is "partial 16S ribosomal RNA". It matches the Rfam family "Bacterial small subunit ribosomal RNA", at positions 1095 to 1333 of the family's 1533-position model. Lineage: Bacteria; Pseudomonadati; Pseudomonadota; Gammaproteobacteria; Pseudomonadales; Pseudomonadaceae. The record is from RNAcentral.